This 497-nucleotide ribosomal RNA is filed under the name uncultured bacterium. RNAcentral describes it as "partial 16S ribosomal RNA". It matches the Rfam family "Bacterial small subunit ribosomal RNA", at positions 28 to 507 of the family's 1533-position model. The record is from RNAcentral.
GAUGAACGCUGGCGGCGUGCCUAAUACAUGCAAGUCGAGCGAACAGACGAGGAGCUUGCUCCUCUGACGUUAGCGGCGGACGGGUGAGUAACACGUGGAUAACCUACCUAUAAGACUGGGAUAACUUCGGGAAACCGGAGCUAAUACCGGAUAAUAUAUUGAACCGCAUGGUUCAAUAGUGAAAGACGGUUUUGCUGUCACUUAUAGAUGGAUCCGCGCCGCAUUAGCUAGUUGGUAAGGUAACGGCUUACCAAGGCGACGAUGCGUACCCGACCUGAGAGGGUGAUCGGCCACACUGGAACUGAGACACGGUCCAGACUCCUACGGGAGGUAGCAGUAGGGAAUCUUCCGCAAUGGGCGAAAGCCUGACGGAGCAACGCCGCGUGAGUGAUGAAGGUCUUCGGAUCGUAAAACUCUGUUAUUAGGGAAGAACAAAUGUGUAAGUAACUAUGCACGUCUUGACGGUACCUAAUCAGAAAGCCACGGCUAACUACGUG